Molecule: ribosomal RNA, 494 nt
Filed under: uncultured bacterium
Lineage: Bacteria
Description: partial 16S ribosomal RNA
Rfam family: Bacterial small subunit ribosomal RNA
Source: RNAcentral
GACGAACGCUGGCGGCGUGCUUAACACAUGCAAGUCGAACGGUGAAGCGCCUUCCUUUUUGGUGGGUGUGGAUGAGUGGCGAACGGGUGAGUAACACGUGAGUAACCUGCCCCCUUCUUCUGGAUAACCGCAUGAAAGUGUGGCUAAUACGGGAUAUUCUGGGUCUGUCGCAUGAUGGGUCUGGGAAAGAUAUUGUUUCGGUGGGGGAUGGGCUCGCGGCCUAUCAGCUUGUUGGUGGGGUGAUGGCCUACCAAGGCGGUGACGGGUAGCCGGCCUGAGAGGGUGGACGGUCACACUGGGACUGAGACACGGACCAGACUCCUACGGGAGGAAGCAGUGGGGAAUAUUGCACAAUGGGAGCAAGGCUGAUGCAGCGACGCCGCGUGAGGGAUGGAGGCCUUCGGGUUGUGAACCUCUUUCGCCAGUGAAGCAGGCCUGCCUCGUUUGUGGGUGGGUUGACGGUAGCUGGAUAAGAAGCGCCGGCUAACUACGUG